RNAcentral lists this ribosomal RNA (534 nucleotides) under Pangasius elongatus. Its description in RNAcentral is "partial small subunit ribosomal RNA". It matches the Rfam family "Bacterial large subunit ribosomal RNA", at positions 1921 to 2610 of the family's 2925-position model. The record is from RNAcentral. Lineage: Eukaryota; Metazoa; Chordata; Actinopteri; Siluriformes; Pangasiidae.
AGUUAAACGGCCGCGGUAUUUUGACCGUGCGAAGGUAGCGCAAUCACUUGUCUUUUAAAUGAAGACCUGUAUGAAUGGUGGAACGAGGGCUUAACUGUCUCCCUUUUCAAGUCAAUGAAAUUGAUCUGCCCGUGCAGAAGCGGACAUACAAAUACAAGACGAGAAGACCCUUUGGAGCUUAAGAUACAAGAUCAACUAUGUCAAGAACCCCAAAAUAGGUUAAACUAAAUAGCCAACUGAUCCCUAUCUUCGGUUGGGGCGACCACGGGAGAAAAUAAAGCUCCCAUGCGGACUGGGGUUAAACCCUAAAACCAAGAGAGACAUCUCUAAGUCACAGAAUAUCUGACCACAAAGAUCCGGCCUAGCCCGCCGACCAACGGACCAAGUUACCCUAGGGAUAACAGCGCAAUCCCCUUUCAGAGUCCAUAUCGACAAGGGGGUUUACGACCUCGAUGUUGGAUCAGGACAUCCUAAUGGUGCAGCCGCUAUUAAGGGUUCGUUUGUUCAACGAUUAAAGUCCUACGUGAUCUGAGU